AGCCUGAGGAAGAGGGCGGCGACGGUGGUGGUGACUGAGCGGAGUCUGGUGACAGGAUGGCUGGGCACAGAAAGGAAUCCCCCUCUAAAAUGAAGAUUGUUCUAUAUCCAGUUGGGGAACUAUACCGAGGAUAUAUGAGCAAUUUAAUCCAGACCAUAAAAAUAUGACAGUGAGGACUUCUAAUAAUGAAGGAAAGUGAAGAUAUCAAAGAUUAUAAUUCAAAAGCACACAUUUACCUGAUGAAACUGAAGGCUGUUGUAUAUCUCUGUAACGUACACCUAAUAGUUUGAAUUGGUGUUGGUAUUAGGAGAUCUGCACAUCCCACACCGGUGCAACAGUUUGCCAGCUAAAUUCAAAAAACUCCUGGUGCCAGGAAAAAUUCAGCACAUUCUCUGCACAGGAAACCUUUGCACCAAAGAGAGUUAUGACUAUCUCAAGACUCUGGCUGG
RNAcentral lists this small RNA (449 nucleotides) under Pan troglodytes (chimpanzee). RNAcentral's name for it is "processed transcript". The record is from RNAcentral. Lineage: Eukaryota; Metazoa; Chordata; Mammalia; Primates; Hominidae.